This is a long non-coding RNA of Saccostrea cuccullata (small rock oyster), 670 nucleotides long. RefSeq lists it as uncharacterized. Lineage: Eukaryota; Metazoa; Mollusca; Bivalvia; Ostreida; Ostreidae. The record is from RefSeq and is a predicted model, not a curated record. The transcript is spliced from 3 exons.
UUUCUGGCCUUACAUUUAGAAUAUGAAAAUGUUCUUGAAAAUGGCGUUUAUUGUGUUUUGAAUUGCUUUGAACUUCCGUAUGUUUCAUUGUACCACCUAAAGAUUACACAGGAUGUAAUGGAAUGUGUUUACUUCAGUGUGCAAAGAAGAGGCACAUCUGUACUUUAUCGGCGUGCUUCUUUCAAGGGUUGAUUAUUUUCCUUUUAGUAGUGAUAUUUUCAUCUGUACUACAGAAUCUGUUGUGCUAAGGAUUGAGGAUUGUGAAUUAUAUUAUUUCACAUACAAAUAAUCAUUUCAACGAUAGACAUCGCUGAACUAAUAGAAAAAGGGAUAUUUACUAACAUUUCAUGUUUAGCGUCCACCUUGAGAAAUGUUCACUAAUAUCGAGACGUUACCACUUGCCGCUGGAGACCUGCAAAUGUUUUCCUAUACUCGGACGUCAGGGCCACUUAGCAGGGAGGGCUCUUUUACGGGCCAGUUCCUACUGCGACACAGGACUUUUAUAGAAGGUCUCAUCCAAAGGACCGGACUCCCCGUUCCACGGUCGGAUUCGAACCGAGAGGCGACGUAAGAAUCAACUCCUUACUUUGCAGCCCUAGAGCAGACACUCUAACCAUUGUUCCACAGUGGCGACGUAUUGCAUGUAACAAUAAAAAUAAUGUAUUCAGAU